CCUACGGGAGGCAGCAGUGGGGAAUUUUGGACAAUGGGCGCAAGCCUGAUCCAGCCAUUCCGCGUGAGUGAAGAAGGCCUUCGGGUUGUAAAGCUCUUUCGCAAGGGAAGAAACGAUUUAGGUGAAUAAUCUAAGUUAAUGACGGUACCUUGAUAAGAAGCACCGGCUAACUACGUGCCAGCAGCCGCGGUAAUACGUAGGGUGCGAGCGUUAAUCGGAAUUACUGGGCGUAAAGCGUGCGCAGGCUGUUUUGUAAGUCAGAUGUGAAAUCCCCGAGCUCAACUUGGGAACUGCGUUUGAAACUACAAGACUAGAAUAUGUCAGAGGGGGGUAGAAUUCCACGUGUAGCAGUGAAAUGCGUAGAGAUGUGGAGGAAUAUCAAUGGCGAAGGCAGCCCCCUGGGAUAAUAUUGACGCUCAUGCACGAAAGCGUGGGGAGCAAACAGGAUUAGAUACCCUGGUAGUCCACGCCCUAAACGAUGUCAACUAGUUGUUGGUAGAGUAAAAUCUAUGAGUAACGCAGCUAACGCGUGAAGUUGACCGCCUGGGGGUAAGGUAGUAGUUCGCGAGAAGUUAAACGUUAACGAAGAGUUAGUAGGACGNGAGAGAGCGACGACGACGACGACGGAGGAGGAGG
Molecule: ribosomal RNA, 636 nt
Filed under: uncultured bacterium
Lineage: Bacteria
Description: bacterial SSU rRNA
Rfam family: Bacterial small subunit ribosomal RNA (bases 1-544)
Source: RNAcentral